CUCGCAUGGUUUAGUGUCCCUCCUGUUUGUUUUCUUUGGGUUUGGAGGCACAGAUUUGAAAAGGCAAACCUAGAAAGCAUUUUUUUUUUAGUUCGCAACCACCUUGGAGUGAUUUUCUAAAGGGAUAAUUGAAUAUUUCAUUCUUGGAUUAAAUGGAAAUGGUUGCCAGUAGUCACGGAACUUCUCCUUUUUCCCCCGAAAAAGUCCAAGAAGUGUCCGAGGGUGUCAUUACUUGCUGCUUCCUUGUGAUGGGCUUCCUCGUCCUGUUCAGGAUCAUGAUUGGCAUUAUUUGGGAUAUAAGGAUUGCGCAUGCGCAAAGGGAAAUCGACGAACCACCAAAACUUUACCACCAAAGAUUCUUGGCUGAGUACCAGAAAGGGAAGUAGUAGCCCGGUGUACACGAACUACUCAUGAAUCACUGAAUCGUCCUGAUUUCAUGAAAGAAUUGGUUAGGAAUUUAAUGAAUGAACAGAUACUCUGCUUCGAUUUGUCUGCGUAUAUCCCAUAUGUAUAUACACCAUUCUUUUUUAUGUAUUGAAAGGUAUUCUUAAAUUUUAUAUCUUUGUAACCAAAAUGUGGAAACUAUUACUUGUCACAUUUUACAGAAUUUGACUCUCUCAAAGAUUACAUGUUUUUAGCAAUUGUAAACACU
Molecule: long non-coding RNA, 652 nt
Organism: Macrobrachium nipponense
Lineage: Eukaryota; Metazoa; Arthropoda; Malacostraca; Decapoda; Palaemonidae
Exons: 3
Source: RefSeq, a predicted model, not a curated record